Molecule: RNA transcript, 3701 nt
Organism: Syzygium oleosum
Lineage: Eukaryota; Viridiplantae; Streptophyta; Magnoliopsida; Myrtales; Myrtaceae
Gene name: pre-mRNA-processing protein 40A-like
Exons: 30
Source: RefSeq, a predicted model, not a curated record
UCAAGAAUUGAAGGGGUCGCUCCAAUUUGCUCACCGCAUGAAGGGAGGAGCAGAGGACGACAAACCAGAGAGACCCAAGCAUCGCCAUUCCCGUUUCCCUUGAACCGGCAAACACAAGACGAAUCCAAUCAAUAUCUUCGCUUCCCAGAACCCAAAACCCAGAAGAAGAAGAAGGACGACCCACCAGGGCGCCCCUUCGCUAGUUGUUUGCCGGGUUUGCGGACCCAGAACGGACCCGGGUUACCAAGUAUAUUCUUGAAGCUGGUAACUCAGUUCCAAUGGCCAACGAUACUCAAUUUUCAGGUUUUCAGCCUCUACAGCCUCCUGUAGUCGGUUCUGCAGAUCCUCCAAGGAAUUUUACUCAGCCAGUGCCUGUUCCACCUUGGCCAGCGCUUCCCCCUCAGCAACCACAGCAAUUUGUUUCAACAGUACCUCAACAUUUUCAGCCUCCUAGCCACGUUACUCUACUCAGGAAUAUUGGGUUGCCUUCUGCACCUCAGCAUCCCCAAUUUCCUCCACCAGUUCAACAUUUAGUUCCAAGGCCUGGCCAGCCAGUUCAGAAUAUCCUUCCUCCUCCUCCGCCAUUGCCUAUUUCUCAGCAAAAUAAGCCCAUCGCAUCUGAGUCAUCACGACCUCAUCAGCCUAGUGGUCUUGUUCCGAAUAACUUCGUGCCUGCAGGGAGCGGCCUAAGAGCUCCUCUGUCAUCAUCAUACACAUUGCAGUUUGCUUCUCAUGGGGGACAGCAGCAAGGGAACUUUGUUGCUCCAAGGCCCCCAUCUCUCUACCAUCAAAUGUCUCAACCACAGGUUUCAGGAGUCUCAAGUGGGGAUCAAGUUAAUCUGCCAUCUGAAAGCCAGAAGACUACCCCUGUGACUGUAUUGCCGGUUACCAGUGAGCAGCCUGCAGUUUCUGCUGCACUAGCACUUGAGCCAAGUGUUCAGCAUAACUCUUCUGAAGCUGUCCAAAGAAUCCAAACCGAUUGGAUAGAGCAUACCUCUGCUGCAGGAAGAAAAUAUUAUUACAACAAGAAGACAAAACAAUCUACAUGGGAGAAGCCUUUUGAGUUGAUGACGGUCACUGAGCGUGCAGAUGCUUCAACCGACUGGAAGGAAUUUACAAGUUCUGACGGAAGGAUAUACUACUACAACAAGGUUACUAAGCAGUCUAAGUGGGAAAUGCCUGCUGAACUGAAGUUGGCUCGUGAAGAGACAAAGAGAAAAUUGGCCGCAGGAACACAAUCAGAGUCCCUGCCUUCGUCUUCUACUUCAGUGGUUCCAGUUAAAGAACUCGAUGGUUCAAAUAUAUCAUCUUUGACAUCUCAAGGAGCUACAUCGAGCCCAGUUCCAGUGGCACCUCUUAAUGCCUCUGGGGACACAGAGUCAGCAGUGGUUGCUGAAUCAGAAGAAAUAUCUGUCCCAGUGCCUGCUUCAACGUUGGCGGCUGUUGUCUUGGAUAUAUCUGUGGAUGAUGCUGAACAAAUGGCUGUUGUUCAAGGGAGCAAUGAAGUUGCUGCUGAUACGAUUGAUGAUGGCACAACCCCAAUGAUUGAUUCCGAGAAGUCCACUAUUCAGGAUAUUCCCUGUUCAGCUGGAGUGUCUGUUCAAGACAAAGAAGCCAAGAAAAAUGAAGUGAUUGCUGAAGGGGCAGAGAGACUUGUCGAAGAGAAAUUAAUUAAUAGUGAAUCAUCACCAUAUGCCAAUAAGCUGGAAGCUAAAGCUGCAUUUAAUGCACUUCUGGAGAAUGCAAAUAUCAGUUCUGACUGGACUUGGGAGCGGGCAAUGAGAGUAAUUAUAAAUGAUAAAAGGUAUGGUGCUUUAAAAACACUUGGAGAGAGGAAGGAAGCAUUUAACGAGUUUGUUGGUCAAAGGAAAAAGCAGGAAGUUGAGGAUAGACGCAUUCAGCAAAAAAAAGCUAGGGAUAAUUUCAAGCAAAUGUUAGAAGAAUGCAGAGAGCUGACAUCUUCUUCAAGAUGGAGCAAAGUAGUGACAUUGUUUGAAGAAGAUGAACGUUUCAAAGCUGUUGAAAGAGACAAAGACCGGAAGGAUAUAUUUGAGAGCUUCAUUAAUGAGCUGGAAAAGAAGGAGCGGGAGAGAUCUUUGGAGGAGCGGAAGAAAAAUAUAAGGGAAUACAGGCAAUUCUUGGAGUCUUGCGAUUUUAUUAAGGCUAGCAGUCAGUGGCGCAAACUACAAGAUCGCUUGGAGGCUGAUGAGAGAUGUUCACGCCUUGAAAAGAUCGAUCGGUUAGAGAUAUUCCAGGAUUAUCUGCAUGAACUAGAGAAAGAAGAGGAGGAGCAGAGGAAGAUACAGAAGGAGGAAAUGAGAAAGGCAGAGCGCAAAAACCGUGAUGAAUUCCGCAAAUUGAUGGAAGAACAUGUUGCUGCUGGCACUCUAACUGCUAAGACUCUUUGGCGUGAUUACUACAUGACGGUUAAAGAUUUACCAGCAUAUAUGGCAGUUGCGUCAAAUACGGCAGGUUCAACGCCAAAAGAUUUGUUUGAAGAUGUUGCCGAGGAACUACAGAAACAGUAUGAGGAGGAUAAAUCUCAAGUAGAUGAUGCAGUAAAACUUAGAAAGAUCUCCUUAACAUCAACCUGGACUGUUGAAGACCUGAGAGGAUCCAUUGCAGAUGAUAUGCGUGGCGCACCUAUAUCAGAAAUUAAUUUUAAAUUAGUGUUUGAUGACUUGCUGGAAAGAGCUCGGAAGAAAGAAGAGAGAGUUGCUAAAAAGCGUAAACGACUCGGUGAUAAGUUAUUCGAUUUACUUACGACUAUAAGGGAAAUAACUCCAUCUUCAACAUGGGAUGAGUGCAAACAACUGAUUGAAAAUAGUCAUGAGUACAGUUCAAUCGGUGAUGAUAUCUAUUGUCAGGAUAUUUUUGAAGAGUACAUAACAAAAUUGAAGGAUCACGAAACAAGAAAACACAAGGAGGAAAAGGCAGAAAAGGAAAAGAAGAAGCGGGGAAAAGAAAGGAAAAGAGUGAAAGAUAGGAGAGAAAAGGAUAGGUAUGAUAGAGAGGAGGAGGAAUCGAGGGACAACGGAGCAGACAGUGACCGAGAAAUUUUGUCUGAGACUCGUGCAUCAUAUAAGAGGAAAAAAUCAGGUGAAGAUCGUGAAAGGAAGCGUCACAGGCAUAUUCAUAGAACAGCAGAUUAUAUGGACAUUGCUGAGGCAGAGCAUUCUGAAAAAAAUCAUAGACACAAUGGUGACCAUAAGAAGGCCACACAGCCUGAAUCCACUCCCGAGUCUGACAGCGAAAGCCGCCAUAAGAGACACAAGAGAGAUCACAGAAAUGGUUAUCAUAGAAGUGGUGGGUAUGAGGAGGAACUUGAAGAUGGGGAAUUCGGUGAAGAUGUAAGAAAUUAGUAGUUUGGCUCUGUUCAUCUUUUAGCUGCUGUGAACCUUUUCAAGCUCCCUGCAAAGUCCAGCUAAGUCUAUUCGAGCAGGAAUGCUAUAUGCUUACAAAAAAGGAGGUCUUCAUAUGGAGUUGCGCACUCACAUGAGCAGUGGGGGAAACCGGGGAAUGGGUUGAGUAAACUCCCCCGGGCUGGAAAAUAACAGAUGAAGCUAAGAGUAAUAUUUCUAACUACGUGGACAUUAUGUCACAAGAUUAAUCUUUUGUAGUCUCCAUAUGUUUGCAGUGAAAGUUGCAAGUAUAGGUUCUUACAGUCGAUCGGAUUCUAUAUUCUGCCUGUUGGUUUUGUU